AUUGAACGCUGGCGGCAUGCCUUACACAUGCAAGUCGAACGGUAACAGGUCUUCGGAUGCUGCCGAGUGGCGAACGGGUGCGUAAUACAUCGGAACGUGCCCGAUCGUGGGGGAUAACGAGGCGAAAGCUUUGCUAAUACCGCAUACGAUCUACGGAUGAAAGCGGGGGAUCUUCGGACCUCGCGCGGCCGGAGCGGCCGAUGGCAGAUUAGGUAGUUGGUGGGAUAAAAGCUUACCAAGCCGACGAUCUGUAGCUGGUCUGAGAGGAUGAUCAGCCACACUGGGACUGAGACACGGCCCAGACUCCUACGGGAGGCAGCAGUGGGGAAUUUUGGACAAUGGGCGAAAGCCUGAUCCAGCCAUGCCGCGUGCAGGAUGAAGGCCUUUGGGUUGUAAACUGCUUUUGUACGGAACGAAAAGCCUCUUUCUAAUAAAGAGGGGUCAUGACGGUACCGUAAGAAUAAGCACCGGCUAACUACGUG
Molecule: ribosomal RNA, 482 nt
Filed under: uncultured bacterium
Lineage: Bacteria
Description: partial 16S ribosomal RNA
Rfam family: Bacterial small subunit ribosomal RNA
Source: RNAcentral